UACGGGGGGGGGCAAGCGUUGUUCGGAAUUACUGGGCGUAAAGGGCUCGUAGGCGGCCAACUAAGUCAGACGUGAAAUCCCUCGGCUUAACCGGGGAACUGCGUCUGAUACUGGAUGGCUUGAGUUUGGGAGAGGGAUGCGGAAUUCCAGGUGUAGCGGUGAAGUGCGUAGAUAUCUGGAGGAACACCGGUGGCGAAGGCGGCAUCCUGGACCAACACUGACGCUGAGGAGCGAAAGCCAGGGGAGCAAACGGG
Molecule: ribosomal RNA, 254 nt
Filed under: uncultured bacterium
Lineage: Bacteria
Description: partial 16S ribosomal RNA
Rfam family: Bacterial small subunit ribosomal RNA
Source: RNAcentral